Molecule: ribosomal RNA, 252 nt
Filed under: uncultured bacterium
Lineage: Bacteria
Description: partial 16S ribosomal RNA
Rfam family: Bacterial small subunit ribosomal RNA
Source: RNAcentral
UACGAAGGGGGCUAGCGUUGCUCGGAAUCACUGGGCGUAAAGAGCUCGUAGGCGGUUUGUUGCGUCGGCUGUGAAAUCCACUGGCUUAACUGGUGGCUUGCUUUCGAUACGGGCAGACUGGAGGUAUGCAGGGGAGAACGGAAUUCCUGGUGUAGCGGUGAAAUGCGCAGAUAUCAGGAGGACACCAGUGGCGAAGGCGGCCCGCUGGGCAGUGGCUGACGUGAAGCGCGACAGCGUGGGGGAGCAAACAGG